This 465-nucleotide ribosomal RNA is filed under the name uncultured bacterium. Its description in RNAcentral is "partial 16S ribosomal RNA". It matches the Rfam family "Bacterial small subunit ribosomal RNA", at positions 338 to 795 of the family's 1533-position model. The record is from RNAcentral.
CCUACGGGAGGCAGCAGUGGGGAAUAUUGCGCAAUGGGCGAAAGCCUGACGCAGCGACGCCGCGUGAGGGAUGAAGGUCUUCGGAUCGUAAACCUCUGUCAGCAGGGAAGAACGGUCACUGUGCUAAUCAGCAGUGAAUUGACGGUACCUGCAAAGGAAGCACCGGCUAACUCCGUGCCAGCAGCCGCGGUAAUACGGAGGGUGCGAGCGUUAAUCGGAAUUACUGGGCGUAAAGCGCUCGUAGGUGGUAUGUCAAGUCAAGGGUGAAAUCCCCGCGCUCAACGUGGGAACUGCCUUUGAAACUGGCAAACUGGAGUGGGUGAGAGGAUAGUGGAAUUCGAGGUGUAGGAGUGAAAUCCGUAGAUAUCUGGAGGAACAUCAGUUGCGAAGGCGACUAGCUGGAACAUAACUGACGCUGAGGAGCGAAAGCGUGGGUAGCAAACAGGAUUAGAUACCCUAGUAGUC